AGGCAUGUGCACGCUCUGCUCAUCCACUCUACCCCUGUGCACUUACUGUAGGUUGGCGUGGGCUCCUUAACGGGAGCAUUCUGCCGGCCUAUGUAUACUACAAACACUUUAAAGUAUCAGAAUGUAAACGCGUCUAACGCAUCUAUAAUACAACUUUUAGCAACGGAUCUCUUGGCUCUCGCAUCGAUGAAGAACGCAGCGAAAUGCGAUAAGUAAUGUGAAUUGCAGAAUUCAGUGAAUCAUCGAAUCUUUGAACGCACCUUGCGCUCCUUGGUAUUCCGAGGAGCAUGCCUGUUUGAGUGUCAUGGAAUUCUCAACUUAUAAAUCCUUGUGAUCUAUAAGCUUGGACUUGGAGGCUUGCUGGCCCUCGUGGUCGGCUCCUCUUGAAUGCAUUAGCUUGAUUCCGUACGGAUCGGCUCUCAGUGUGAUAAUUGUCUACGCUGUGACCGUGAAGUGUUUUGGCGAGCUUCUAACCGUCCAUUAGGACAACUUUUUAACAUCUGACCUCAAAUCAGGUAG
Molecule: ribosomal RNA, 519 nt
Filed under: Trametes ochracea
Lineage: Eukaryota; Fungi; Basidiomycota; Agaricomycetes; Polyporales; Polyporaceae
Description: eukaryotic LSU rRNA
Rfam family: 5.8S ribosomal RNA (bases 152-305)
Source: RNAcentral